This 253-nucleotide ribosomal RNA is filed under the name uncultured bacterium. RNAcentral describes it as "partial 16S ribosomal RNA". It matches the Rfam family "Bacterial small subunit ribosomal RNA", at positions 524 to 776 of the family's 1533-position model. The record is from RNAcentral.
UACGUAGGGUGCAAGCGUUAAUCGGAAUUAUUGGGCGUAAAGCGUGCGCAGGCGGCUUUGUAAGUCUGUUGUGAAAUCCCCGGGCUCAACCUGGGAAUUGCGAUGGAGACUGCAAGGCUAGAAUCUGGCAGAGGGGGGUAGAAUUCCACGUGUAGCAGUGAAAUGCGUAGAGAUGUGGAGGAACACCGAUGGCGAAGGCAGCCCCCUGGGUCAAGAUUGACGCUCAUGCGCGAAAGCGUGGGGAGCAAACAGG